GUAACUUUUGCCUGCCUAGAAAUUUAGCAUGGAAAGUAGGUCAAGUUAUUUUCAAUGAAGAAUGUUAUAAACAGGUGCAAGAGAGACAAAAUUAGUCCAAACAUACUUGGCUACACUGAUAUAAUUCAAAGACUGUUAAAAUCAUGCUUGGUAAAAACAGAAGAUGUAGAAUGGGAAAUUAAUGAACUAAAAUUGGUCUGUCAGUGUGAGAAUAUGUGCCCCUGUGUUCACUAUUGUAAUGGCCACUGUUGUAAUAAUCUUUGUACAAAGUAUGCCUUGUGAGGUGUCAUUUAAAAACUCAUAAUUUGCUGGUCAGUAUUGUCCUGAUAAAACGCAUGUGGCAACAUUGUAUGUGAAGUUAUAAGAUUUCACUAGACACUUUAUAUCCUCAAUCACAACUGGAAAUGUUUAUCAAGAGGGGGAUUGACACUAAAAAAGGAAGGACAAACACCCCAUGACAACCCCACAUCUCUCUUCCUAUCCAUUGCAAUCAUGGCACCAGAAGCAUCAAAGAAAGUAUUUGUUGGACUGGAGAAGGGGUCCUGACCAAAGAAGUCUGGUCAGUAAGACUGCUGAAAAAGCAUGUGGUGAGAAAACUUUGCUUGAAUUUAACAUAGUUUGUUAAGUUAGAUAAAACACAACUGGUGUCUAUUUUUUCCUGUAGCCAUUUCUGACUUUUGUGCCUCAUUACUUGUACUUACUUAAAAUCUCCCUCUUUAUAGUUAAUAACCUUGUUUAAGCUAAUCCAGUGUGAAGUGUCUAGAAGACUCCAUUUGGGGUGGCAAAUUAUGUACAUAUUAUUUCUAUUACAGCAAUAAUGGACUUUGUAUAAA
Gopherus flavomarginatus (Mexican gopher tortoise) is the source of this 833-nucleotide long non-coding RNA. RefSeq lists it as uncharacterized. Lineage: Eukaryota; Metazoa; Chordata; Testudines; Testudinidae. The transcript has 2 exons. The record is from RefSeq and is a predicted model, not a curated record.